AUACGUAGGGGGCGAGCGUUGUCCGGAAUUAUUGGGCGUAAAGGGCGCGUAGGCGGCCCGGUAAGUCUGGAGUGAAAGUCCUGUUUUUAAGAUGGGAAUUGCUUUGGAUACUGUCGGGCUUGAGUGCAGGAGAGGUAAGUGGAAUUCCCAGUGUAGCGGUGAAAUGCGUAGAGAUUGGGAGGAACACCAGUGGCGAAGGCGACUUACUGGACUGUGUCUGACGCUCAGAUGCGAAAGCCAGGGUAGCGAACGGGAUUAGAUACCCCGGUAGUCCUGGCCGUAAACGAUGGGUACUAGGUGUGGGAGGUAUCGACUCCUUCCGUGCCGGAGUUAACGCAAUAAGUACCCCGCCUGGGGAGUACGGCCGCAAGGCUUAAACUCAAAUGAAUUGACGGGG
RNAcentral lists this ribosomal RNA (397 nucleotides) under uncultured bacterium. RNAcentral's name for it is "partial 16S ribosomal RNA". It matches the Rfam family "Bacterial small subunit ribosomal RNA", at positions 523 to 918 of the family's 1533-position model. The record is from RNAcentral.